UACGUAGGGUGCAAGCGUUAAUCGGAAUUACUGGGCGUAAAGCGUGCGCAGGCGGUUUUGUAAGUCUGUCGUGAAAGCCCCGGGCUCAACCUGGGAAUUGCGAUGGAGACUGCAAGGCUUGAAUCUGGCAGAGGGGGGUAGAAUUCCACGUGUAGCAGUGAAAUGCGUAGAGAUGUGGAGGAACACCGAUGGCGAAGGCAGCCCCCUGGCUCAAGAUUGACGCUCAUGCACGAAAGCGUGGGGAGCAAACAGG
RNAcentral lists this ribosomal RNA (253 nucleotides) under uncultured bacterium. RNAcentral's name for it is "partial 16S ribosomal RNA". It matches the Rfam family "Bacterial small subunit ribosomal RNA", at positions 524 to 776 of the family's 1533-position model. The record is from RNAcentral.